UACGGAGGAUGCAAGCGUUAUCCGGAUUUAUUGGGUUUAAAGGGUGCGCAGGUUGUUUGAUAAGUCAGUGGUGAAAGUCUGUCGCUUAACGGUAGGAUUGCCAUUGAUACUGUUAGACUUGAAUAUGGAUGAGGUAGGCGGAAUGUGUAGUGUAGCGGUGAAAUGCAUAGAUAUUACACAGGACACCGAUUGCGAAGGCAGCUUACUAAUCCAUCAUUGACGCUGAGGCACGAAAGCGUGGGGAUCAAACAGGA
RNAcentral lists this ribosomal RNA (254 nucleotides) under uncultured prokaryote. RNAcentral's name for it is "partial 16S ribosomal RNA". It matches the Rfam family "Bacterial small subunit ribosomal RNA", at positions 524 to 777 of the family's 1533-position model. The record is from RNAcentral.